Hevea brasiliensis (rubber tree) is the source of this 857-nucleotide long non-coding RNA. RefSeq lists it as uncharacterized. The transcript is spliced from 2 exons. Lineage: Eukaryota; Viridiplantae; Streptophyta; Magnoliopsida; Malpighiales; Euphorbiaceae. The record is from RefSeq and is a predicted model, not a curated record.
UUAAGUUUUUGGCCUUUUAAUUUUUAAAGUCGUAAGAUGCAUCAUUUAAAGAAAAAAAAUGUUGUCCAUCAAAUUGAUGAUUCGUUCACAAUUAUAACCAACAAACAUAACUUCGGAACAAAGGAAAACAUCAUUGAGAGACCUCAUCCUCUCUCUAAAUCUCUAAGAGAGAUUUUUCUAUGUUUUCUUUAAUUUUCUUGGGGCCCUUAGUCUCCUUCGGUUUUUGCUAGCUAGCUUGUGGCCCCAUCUGGGCAGGGGAAGUAAUUCAUCCUUUGUUCAGAAGUGGAUUCACUAGAUCCUUUCUCCGGGUAUCUAUGGGGAAACAAUCUUGAGUCGGCGAGCUCUUUUGUUCUUGUAUGGCAUGCGGUUUAGCUGCUUCUGGUGGUGGUUGCUCGUGGGGUGCAAUCUGAAAGUUUAGCCCGGAAGGCGCGAAUGAGACGCCGAAGAACCUCACUAUUGCAAUCUUUUGCUUUCUUGGUGCCGGUGUGAUGUUUCCAUGGCUUUUCGAAGGCGGCCAGUGGCUUCCCUUUGUGGGUUUUGGUACCUAGGAUGGGGUAUUUCUUCUCUGUAACAGGCUUGUGCCUGUGCAUGCAAAUCCUGUUUUUCUUCUCCCUGGUGGUUUCUUCUUCCACGAGGAGAGGUGGGCAAUGUGGCAGUGCGGAGGACCAGUAAACGGCGCAAGCUUUGCCUUUGCUACCUAGAGUUUCCUCUCUGCUUAAUCUCUAUACUUGGAAUGAGUAGAGUAGGUUCUGGUCCUUUGGGCCGAUUGUUUAGCCUCUUCGGUUCUUGUCUCUUUUGGACUAGUCUAUGAGCUGGCCCAUGCUUAUAAUGCUAUGGACUUGGACCAUUUAAUGAAA